Molecule: ribosomal RNA, 168 nt
Filed under: Heliotropium krauseanum
Lineage: Eukaryota; Viridiplantae; Streptophyta; Magnoliopsida; Boraginales; Heliotropiaceae
Description: 5.8S ribosomal RNA
Rfam family: 5.8S ribosomal RNA
About the family: 5.8S ribosomal RNA (5.8S rRNA) is a component of the large subunit of the eukaryotic ribosome. It is transcribed by RNA polymerase I as part of the 45S precursor that also contains 18S and 28S rRNA.
Source: RNAcentral
AAAAACAACUCUCGGCAACGGAUAUCUCGGCUCUCGCAUCGAUGAAGAACGUAGCGAAAUGCGAUACUUGGUGUGAAUUGCAGAAUCCCGUGWWCCAUCAAGUCUUUGAACGCAAGUUGCGCCCGAAGCCGUUAGGCCGAGGGCACGUCUGCCUGGGCGUCACGCAUC